Long non-coding RNA from Uranotaenia lowii, 699 nucleotides. RefSeq lists it as uncharacterized. Lineage: Eukaryota; Metazoa; Arthropoda; Insecta; Diptera; Culicidae. The transcript has 3 exons. The record is from RefSeq and is a predicted model, not a curated record.
AGCAGCAAUUCCGCUAGAAACAAAAUACUCGAACAACGUCGUGGUGGUCAUUGUGAUAGAAAGUUUUUAUUAUUCUUGCGUGACGAUCACAAGACCCGGAUUUGGAAGACAACAAUUUUUCGAUUAGCAGCCGCCUCAAAGCAGUGCAUCAUCUCCGCAGAUUGAGAAGCGGUUCCAUGUUAAAACCACCCAGCUGUUAUUGUCUCAAGACUCCGGGUCCGGGUCGACCGGAUGAAACAGGUUGCCAUGUACGAACUGAAUGCUGUUCUUAGGCAGCAGCACCGGUCACAUAUGCCCGGUUUCUGUUCAUUGGUAUCCGCGGAGACAGCGAGGAAGAAGCAUUUAACGAUGAGUAUUCACAUGUAAAAUUGAAGCAAUUUCUCCGGUACUGGAGUUCUGCCUCGCAACUGGUGUACCGGAGGCUAGAAUCUAAGCUCGUUUUAGAAAUUGGUGCAGUAUCGGAUUGCUUUUCAGCUGUCCUAAUUGAUCAUCUCCAACCAAGAUGACAGCUUCGGAAAGUGUUUCGCGUUGGCACUCCGGAUCACAAGGCUGUCGUCUCCGGAUUAACAAGAAGUCGAUGAAAAAAAUCGUGUUUGUAGGCUACAAGGAUUGUCAGCAGAAAGCGCUUAGGAUUGUGUUUCCAAAUUUCAAAAUUUAUUAAAAGAAUAUUGCUGAUUCAUUUACAUACAUAGGAAAAAA